Molecule: long non-coding RNA, 1934 nt
Organism: Octopus sinensis (East Asian common octopus)
Lineage: Eukaryota; Metazoa; Mollusca; Cephalopoda; Octopoda; Octopodidae
Exons: 2
Source: RefSeq, a predicted model, not a curated record
GUGUAUAAAUUAACAAAAAAAAAUUAUGUGAAAAUCUGAGAGAAAGAUUAAAUAAUACCUGCUUUUUAUAGUUAUUUUUAAUUAUUGUCAUCAAACAUACAUGUAUAGCCUGCUUCAUUUCUUUAAAAAAAAACAAAAAACAAAACCACAUCUCCAAAAAACAAAUAUUGUUAUAAUUUUUAUUACUUUCUACUUUUUCUUAAUAGUAGAAAAUAAUGAAUAAUUAAAAUAAAUAAUUAAAGCAAUAGUAAUUUUAUUAGAGAUGUCACAUGAUUGUGAAAUAUUGGUGUAAGGUUUUGACAGAAAUAUAAUUUUCUACAUAAAUAAUAUACAAAUACAAAUGCACAUUCUUAGACAGUGUUGGAAAUUAGCAACUAGAAACAUUACCUAAGAUUAUAUAAAUUUGUACAAUAUUUUUGUAAGGGAAAAGACAAAGAAUAUUCCACUUGACAUCCUUUGUGUCUCCUGUGAUAUAUAACACAAAACCCAUCAACAUAUAAAUGAUUUGGGUUUCUCCAGAACUUAUUAUUUUUGUCAUUUCUUAAUAUUUUGUUUCUUUUUUUUUUAUGAUUUUCUUUGAUGAUAACAUCUGUAUUGUUAUAUCCCUUUAAUUAGUGGGAGUUAGGUGAUGGAGACCCAAUUCCAUUUAGAUCCUCAAACAAUAUGCUUCUUUUUGUUGCUGGUUUAGUCAUUGAAUGAACAAUCAGAUGUGCAAUGUUAUCUCUCUUAUGAGAUUUCCAUUCACCUGUAGACCUGUCUAAUACUGGUCAUCAACUUUUGCUCAUCGGCUUUCCAUGUCUCUAUAUUAGAGAAAAUAAUUUUGUUAUAAACUUUAGAGAGGUCAAAGAAUAUGUUUCAUAAUUCUUGCAAGGUCAUAUUUUUCAGGUUUUUUUUUUGUUUCUCUGCUGCCUACUUUCAGCAGGGAAAUGGUGUAAAUUUGAUUCUUGUUACACCUUUAAUCACAGACUUGUUGGGAAUUGAUGAUAAUGCAUAUCUUGGGUGGCUCAUUUGUUUAAAAAAAAUUUGUGUAUUGUCAAAAGUCUUUCUAUAUGGAUUUCUGCACAGUGCCGUCACAUCUUAGAUAAAUUCAUUUGUUGUUAUAUGGAAUUUCAAACUCUGAGGGGCAUGUCGAUGUAUGUGAAGAAAGAUGUCGUUUUCCACUGCUUCGUAAUAAAAUUGGUCAGACGUUCAGUUUCAAAUUUCAUUAUGUCAUGGGCAGCAAUGUUGUUUAAUGUGAAGAUGCUAAGAUGCUAUUAAAAAUGUUUUAUUCCACCGGCUGCCAUUGUAAUAACACUUGUCUGUCACUGAAUCUUUUAUUACCAAACAAAGUACUUUUAUAGAUUUUAUUCAUUGUUGUACAUGAAAGACAGAUGUAAUCAGCUGGUCUUUGUGUAGAAUAUCUACCUGGACAGAAAAAGAAAUAUCAACUGGACUGGUUUCAAUCCUGUGUUGGAAUUUCAUUAGUGACUUUAUCAGCUAUCUACUGCCUGUAAACCCACCAUUACUAAAUACUUAAGUAGAUCAAAUAGAUUUAAUUGCAUAUGUAUGUCCUUAGUAACUAGAUUGAUUAACAAGUUACUAGUGUAGUAACAGUAUUUUCUUUUAAUGUUAUAUGUAAUACGGGGUACAUCUAUAGAUGUUAGCCAACAUUAAAAGAUAGAUGUAAGCACCUUGCCUUCUUUGAGCCGAAAAAGAGUAUCCUUCUUAACUACAUUCACUUUGUUUUCUUGUAAUUGCUCUACAAGAAUUCUUAUUAAAAGAUGCACUAUAUUCUUCUUCUGUGGGUCAAACAAAAGGUUUAUUUAAUAAUAUUGAGAAAAUAACCGAAUAUAACUGGCCACUGUAGAAGGCCAGAGGUUACAGUGGUCAAAAUGUUGUAAGUAUAGCAACCAAAAUGAGGUACUAGUUCAAAUGUGUUUAAAUAGAAAAAUAGG